AUAAUGUGCCUUUCUGAUGUUACAAAUUCUAGAAGAAAAAAAAAAAAAAAUCUGAUUGCUAAAACCAAAAUGCACAGUGAGCUGUCUUGAUUGUAUGAAAGUUUUCAUUAUUUUUGAAUUAAUCUUAUUCAGUGGAAAAAUAUUAGGAACUGAAAUUUAUUGAUAGAUUUUUGUUUUACUAGCAAAAUAUUUAUUAUUCACGCUUUAGUUCUUCUAACCAUUACAGCUGUGGAAUAGUAAUUUCUUUCACCAGUAAGUCCAGCUUGAGGCCCAUCAUACAGCGGAAAACAAAGAGAAAAGUGCUACAUUUGCUCCCUUGGACAACCAGGUGACCCCGUCCAAGGUUAAGCAUGAAUCCCCGAGGAAGAGCUAUGCACUAUGCUCCACAACAGGAGCAACGCCUCUCUGUGACUUGAGUGAAGGUAAGAGCUUUAUUAUUUCACACGCUCUGUGCAUGGGUUCACCACAUACACCCCUCUCUUUCUCAUAAACUCACUGCAUGCUGAGCAGCAAAAAGGAAAAGUUAAGUGGAAA
RNAcentral lists this long non-coding RNA (534 nucleotides) under Anas platyrhynchos platyrhynchos (common mallard). RNAcentral describes it as "lncRNA (ENSAPLG00000022257.1)". The record is from RNAcentral. Lineage: Eukaryota; Metazoa; Chordata; Aves; Anseriformes; Anatidae.